Molecule: ribosomal RNA, 663 nt
Filed under: uncultured cyanobacterium
Lineage: Bacteria; Bacillati; Cyanobacteriota
Description: bacterial SSU rRNA
Rfam family: Bacterial small subunit ribosomal RNA
Source: RNAcentral
CGGACGGGUGAGUAACGCGUGAGAAUCUGGCUCCAGGUCGGGGAUAACAGUUGGAAACGACUGCUAAUACCGGAUGUGCCGAAAGGUGAAAGAUUUAUUGCCUGGAGAUGAGCUCGCGUCUGAUUAGCUAGUUGGUGGUGUAAGGGACCACCAAGGCAUCGAUCAGUAGCUGGUCUGAGAGGAUGAUCAGCCACACUGGGACUGAGACACGGCCCAGACUCCUACGGGAGGCAGCAGUGGGGAAUUUUCCGCAAUGGGCGAAAGCCUGACGGAGCAAUACCGCGUGAGGGAGGAAGGCUCUUGGGUCGUAAACCUCUUUUCUCAAGGAAGAAGAAAGUGACGGUACUUGAGGAAUAAGCAUCGGCUAACUCCGUGCCAGCAGCCGCGGUAAUACGGAGGAUGCAAGCGUUAUCCGGAAUGAUUGGGCGUAAAGGGUCUGCAGGUGGAACUGAAAGUCUGCUGUUAAAGAGUUUGGCUUAACCAAAUAAAAGCGGUGGAAACUACAGAACUAGAGUGUGGUAGGGGCAAAAGGAAUUCCUGGUGUAGCGGUGAAAUGCGUAGAUAUCAGGAAGAACACCGGUGGCGAAAGCGUUUUGCUAGACCAUAACUGACACUGAGGGACGAAAGCUAGGGGAGCGAAUGGGAUUAGAUACCCCAGUAGUC